GUUUUUUGCAUUAAAACAAUUCUACGUCGUUUGGUGUCGGAAAACAUAAAUAGGACAUUUUGUUAAGUCCUGCUGAAACAUCUCGGUUACUUUCGUCGGGUGCGUUACGUCGCGUUACGCGAAUUUAUGUUGCUUUCGUCGGUGUGUUUACGUCAUGUUGCCAGCUGUCAUGUUGGUUAAGACAUGUUACUUACGUCGUUGUGAUGACUGAAGUGGCACUUAGGUCAAACGAAUACGUCUUGCAAAAAAGGCAGCUGUUUCCCAUGCAAAUAUAGUGCCACAGGCAAAUUUUAGCAACUGGAUUAGGAGCAGAAAUGUUGCGAAAUUGGCGUCGUCAUUGGAAAAGGAUGUGUGAUUAUGAUCAAGAAGAUUCACGGCGGCCGAGAUCCCUCAUCAACCUGGAGCUCACUGAAUCACAUCGAAUCAUUUCCGUUCCGAGCCGGACAGCAUACUACGUAAAUCGGAGGAAGUAUACAGCAGGAACGUCAUGUGCCUAAAGCUGCGCAUGUUGCGGUCAGAAAUAAAACAUCAAUGCGAGGUGACAACGCAGCCGUAGGAGUUGGUAUAAGCACGUAUAAGUACAUAGCUCGAGUCUAGGCACGAGUACCCGUAUGUGGAAAAUACGUGGGUAUUCAUCAAGACCACGGUGAAAGUGACGGGUCCAAUCUCUGCUAGUCUGGGAUGUUUUCGUAAUGGAAAUGGUUUUGACUUCUCGAACAAAACGAUACAAAAUAGGAAUAUAAAAAUUGACAAUGCAAGCUCUCAAUGUAAUAACUGUGUAAGUGCUCACAGAAAAAAAAAACUAUAUGUAGGUACAGUAAUGCCAGUUAGACAGAAAAUACAAGUAUUGAGUAUUAUAAUAAUGUAAAUAUUAUUCAAAUAAAUGUAGGUGAAUACGA
This is a long non-coding RNA of Aedes albopictus (Asian tiger mosquito), 899 nucleotides long. RefSeq lists it as uncharacterized. Lineage: Eukaryota; Metazoa; Arthropoda; Insecta; Diptera; Culicidae. The record is from RefSeq and is a predicted model, not a curated record. The transcript is spliced from 3 exons.